GCAGGCCUAACACAUGCAAGUCGAGCGGUAGAGAGAAGCUUGCUUCUCUUGAGAGCGGCGGACGGGUGAGUAAUGCCUAGGAAUCUGCCUAGUGGUGGGGGAUAACGUUCGGAAACGGACGCUAAUACCGCAUACGUCCUACGGGAGAAAGCGGGGGACCUUCGGGCCUCGCGCCAUUAGAUGAGCCUAGGUCGGAUUAGCUAGUUGGUGAGGUAAUGGCUCACCAAGGCUACGAUCCGUAACUGGUCUGAGAGGAUGAUCAGUCACACUGGAACUGAGACACGGUCCAGACUCCUACGGGAGGCAGCAGUGGGGAAUAUUGGACAAUGGGCGAAAGCCUGAUCCAGCCAUGCCGCGUGUGUGAAGAAGGUCUUCGGAUUGUAAAGCACUUUAAGUUGGGAGGAAGGGUAGUAACUUAAUACGUUGCUACUUUGACGUUACCGACAGAAUAGGCACCGGCUAACUUCGUGCCAGCCGCCGCGGUGAUACGAAGGGUGCAAGUCGUUAAUC
Molecule: ribosomal RNA, 510 nt
Filed under: Pseudomonas sp.
Lineage: Bacteria; Pseudomonadati; Pseudomonadota; Gammaproteobacteria; Pseudomonadales; Pseudomonadaceae
Description: bacterial SSU rRNA
Rfam family: Bacterial small subunit ribosomal RNA
Source: RNAcentral